This 7022-nucleotide long non-coding RNA is filed under the name Oryza sativa (Asian cultivated rice). RNAcentral's name for it is "long non-coding RNA (OSAT_LNC000419)". The record is from RNAcentral. Lineage: Eukaryota; Viridiplantae; Streptophyta; Magnoliopsida; Poales; Poaceae.
CUACAUAAAGUAAAUAACAGGUGCAUCAAGAGCGAGCAUUUCAGCAAGGAAUCCAAUCGGUAAUAGAGAACAAAAAUAUUAAGGAGAUCAGUUUUUUAUUUAUUUAUGCACAGUGCCAACAAAAACUAUGAAACCACUUAAAAAUUGUUACGGAAAAGCUAGUGAGUGUGUUCUAGUUUCUCUUUAGCAUCUACUAACACCGUAAUAAAUAUAGAUUGCUAAAUCUUUAUAUAGUUUCAACUACACCAGACAUUGAAAUACUUGUACUUAAGUUGUUUGGAAUUAAGGAUUGGUCACAACCAAAAUGGAUACUUGACUUUGGAUAUAGUUAUCCAUUACUCAAAUCGAGAAAUGUUUUUUUUUAUCUUAAAUCUAGAAUCGUUAGCAGAGCAAAACGGUAGAUUACGGGAAUACUUCAGAGCAGAAGGUGUUAGAUAGAUCUCUCUCCCCUUGAGCCCAACGGCUCAAGGGGGCCUUGACCGCGCCCUGAUCGGGGGCGCCCAGCCCAAUGGCUGGUGGGCCCCCGUCACACUGCGCCAUAUAAAAGAGGGGUGGAGGCCGGCACGGCACAUGGUACGAGAUUCACCGCCGCCGCCAACUCCACCCCACAAAACCCUAAUCCGAUCGAGAGGGGGCGCAGCCAGUGACGGGAAACGCCACCGCCGCGCCACGCCUCAUCGCCGGGACGUCUACGACCACCACUGCCGCAGCCGUCAUCACCGUCGACCUCACCGGCGCCGCAUCCACGUCAAGCCGCGACGACAACGACGAUGUCCGGCGCCUCUUCCUCCACGAACUCCUCAACCGGUCGGUAUCUAAACCCUCUCCCUUUCAUCUACAAUGUCGUUCAUCAAACCCAAAUAGAACCACCCGACUAGAUCUAACCUAGGUGAUCCUAGAGCAAAGUCUAACAAUGGUAUCAGAGCAACCCUAGUGUUUAGAUCGUUUCGGGGAAAGAAAUCCAAAGAAAGAAAAGCACAAGAUCCGCACGGAUCAAAAGAACCAAAAACCCUAACCCUAAUUCUUACCUCGUCGCCGGCCGUCGUCGACGCCGGCAACGGAGGGGGGGAGGGGCAAAGAGGCGCCGCCUAGGAGCCACUCGACGGCCGCGCGCGCACCUGCACGCGCGUGCCGGCGAGGGGGCCCGCGGCGGCGCCGCCAUCUCCGUCGUCGCCAUCUCUCUCUCACACUGUGGGGGUUAGAGACGGUGGGGGGAGCGGAGAAGAGAAAAGAAAGGAGCGCCGGCCAUGGCGCGGCGGCGCGAGGGCCGCCGGCGUCGGCGACGCCGCUCGGCGCGACCGCGCCCGCCCGAGAGAGAGAAAGAGAGGAGAAGCUAGGGUUUCGGCGGCCGGCCGGGGCACGAGGGGUUUUGAUCCCCGUUUUCGGCGCCCGGCCGUCCGAUCGCAAACCCUAAGAUCGGACGGCCGGCGGCGGCCGGACCGAAAUCGGCCCAAGUGGGGAGCGCGCGGCGGCGGCUUUCCCGGCCCAGGCCCAGGUUGCGGCCUGGGGGAGGGGAGGGGGCGCUCGCCCGCGCGCAAGGUGGCCAUGGGCCGACCGGCAAAGGCCGGAAAAAAGUCCAUAUAAGGUCCCUCCGGGGCCGAAAAUGAAUAAAAGAGAACAGUAGCAUUUUUUCCAUUUUAUUUUGUCAAUUUUUCAUGCAAAUUUCAAUAGAAUUUUGAAUAGAUUUUUGCAUGUUUUACCUCUGUUUAAAUUUGAACCAACGGGAGAAUUUUCACAGAGAGAGAAUUACAGAGAUUUAGCUACUGUUCAUAUGAUUUUAUAUAGUCUUCCGCUGCAAAUAGAUGAAAUUGAUGAAAAUUAGUGUUUCUAAAAUUAAAUUUCGAACCAACGGGAGAAUUUAAUUUUAGGAACAUUAAUUAUGUGCUAUGAUGUUGUAAUUUUCUGACCAACGUUGUUAAUUGCAAUAUUAUAGUUAUGGUUAUAUGUGUUAUGUCUAAUUCUGCCCAACGGUGAUGUAGGCUUAAUGCAUAAUAUUUUAAUGUUAAUUUUGUUCUCACCGCACAUGAUUAUUUCAGGUGGCUACUCCUUGAUGGGUUGCAUUAAAGAUAUUCCGACCCUAAAAGGAGAUAACUACGCAGAAUGGAAAAGAAAACUCGACCUUGCUUUUAUCUUGGGAGAGGUGGACUGGGUAUUGACUACCCCAUGUCCUAUAGAACCUGCUGACCUUGUCAGAGGUGAAAAUGAGUCAGAUGCUGACUGGCAAAAGAGACAGAGGGACAAUGCUCCUCUCGUCAUGUCGUAUGACAUUGAACAAAAGAAAUGGUCCUUAGCCAACAAGAAAUGUUUGGCUGUGGUAAAGAAUACGAUUGAGCCUACCAUAUUGGGCUCGAUCCCAGAGUGUGACGCUGUCUCAGAGUACCUUGAAAGAAUAAAGAGUCAGUUUACUGGCUCUUCAAAGACUUAUGCUACACAGCUGAUCAAGCAGCUUGUGACAGAAAGGUACCAUGGAGGUGGUGUUAGAGACCACAUACUUAGAAUGAGCAACAUGGCUUCCAAAUUGAAGCCAAUGGAUUUGGGCAUAACAGAUGACUUUCUGGUCCAUCUGGUUAUGGCCUCAUUGCCAAAGCAGUUUGACAAUUUUAUUGUCAACUACAACAUAAGUCCAGAGAAAUGGAACUUUGAGAAGCUCAUUGCUAAUUGUGUGCAAGAGGAGGAGAGAAUCAAAGAAUCAAAUGGUGGUUCAAUAAACUAUGUUAAAGAUAAGAAAAAGAACCACAAGUCUCCCACCUCAAAAGGUAAACAGUCUCAGCAUCUGCCUCAACAACAACAGUUCGCUGUUGAGAAAGAUCAAUGUCUCCACUGCAAGAAGACAGGACACUACAAGAAAGAUUGUCCUGACUUUUUGAAAAUGAUCAUGGCAAAGAAAGGUGAGAACAUUAUUACAUUUGUAAAUGAAUCUCAUUAUGUUGGUUACUCUAGAUCCACAUGGUGGAUUGAUUCUGGAGCAACUAUUCAUGCUUGUAAUUGUUUAAAGGCAUUCCGUUCGACGAGGACUACGCAAAGAAGAGAAAGCACCAUUAGAGUUGCCAAUGGAGUUGAAGAAAAAGUUGAAGCUGUUGGAGAUCUUCCUCUAGAGCUCGCGAAUGGCUUCAUACUUUUACUUCGAGAUGUCUUUUAUGUUCCUUCUUUGCAAAGGAACUUAAUAAGUGUAUCAAAGUUGGAUUUUGAUGGACAUGAUUGCCGCUUUGGAAGUGGCAAAUGUGAACUAUGGCAUAAUAAUGCAUGUAUUGGUCUUGCUGUGUUGCGAGACGAGCUUUAUUUGUUAUCUCUUUCUGAGAAUGUGAAUGUUGUGUCCUCGUUGACAAAAGAAAACAAGAAAAGAAAGCGAACUCCCGAUGUCUCAUCGAAAUUAUGGCACUGUCGUUUGGGCCAUAUUUCGAGGGGGAGAAUUGAGAGACUAGUUAAGAAUGAAAUUCUUCCUCCAUUGGAGUUCUCAGACUUAGAACAAUGCAUAGAAUGCAUUAAAGGAAAAUUUGUAAAGAGCAUCAAAAAGGGUGCAAAACGAAGCGCAGGAAUUUUAGAGAUCAUUCAUACAGAUAUUUGUGGUCCAUUUCCUGUGAAAAAGUGUGGAUGGCUAUGACUCGUUCAUAACAUUCACAGAUGAUUACUCCCGCUAUGGUUAUAUUUAUCCAAUUAAAGAGCGAUCAGAAGCACUGGAUAAAUUUAAGAUAUUCAAAGCUGAAGUUGAAAAUCAGCAUGAUAUAAAGAUUAAAGUAGUAAGAUCUGACCGUGGGGGGGAGUACUAUGGUCGACAUACGCCUUAUGGGCAAGUCCCUGGACCUUUUGCAAGGUUCUUGCUAGAGAAUGGAAUAGUAGCCCAGUAUUCAACACCGGGCGAACCUCAACAGAAUGGGGUAGCUGAAAGGCGCAACCGUACCCUUAUGGAUAUGGUGCGCAGCAUGAUGAGCUACUCCACACUACCACUCGGUUUAUGGAUGGAGGCGUUAAAAACCGCCAUUCAUAUUCUCAACAGAGUUCCAAGCAAAUCGGUGCCCAAAACACCGUAUGAGCUAUGGACAGGGAGAGUACCCUCGCUAACUCACCUCCGUGUGUGGGGGAGUCCUGCAGAGGCCAAAGUAUUUAACCCAAAUAUUGGGAAGUUGGACCCCAAAACAGUCAGUUGCCAUUUUAUUGGCUAUCCUGAAAGAUCAAAAGGCUAUCGUUUCUACUGUCCAAACAGUUAUACAAAGUUUGUAAAAACGAGACACGCCGUCUUCUUGGAAGACGAAAUGAUUAAGGGGAGCUCGGUAGUUCGAGAAAUUGAUCUUGAGGAGAGGCGGGUGUCUGUACCCGCUCCGUCGACUCAGGAACCUUUCUUCUCUCUACCUGCUGAUGUUGUGCCUGCAAUGCCUGUCAUUGAGGUACCAGCACCUGUUGUUACCCCUCCUGUGGCAACAAUGAAUGAGAGUGAGGAACCUGUUAUACAGGAUUCAACAGAAAUGGUUGCCACACCAGAGGAGGAGCUACAACAGCCUCAAAUAGAUAAUGUGCCAGUACAGGAGACUCAUCAAGAGCCUCAGGUACAGGAUGUGCCAAAUGUGCAGGCCCCUAGAAGGUCUGAAAGAGUCAGAAGAUCGGCUAUCCGUGAUGACUAUAAAGUUUAUAAUAUAGAAGAGUCGCAUAUGGAGGAUGAUCCCACCUCAUAUGAAGAGGCCAUGAGAAGCGCUCGCUCAUCUGAAUGGUUGGAAGCCAUGAAAGAUGAAAUGAAAUCAAUGAAACUAAACGAUGUUUGGGAUUUAGAAGAAAUUCCUAAAGGAGCCAAAACAGUAGGCUGUAAAUGGGUCUACAAAACCAAAUAUGACUCCAGAGGGAAUAUAGAAAAGUUUAAAGCGCGACUUGUGGCAAAAGGCUUCACGCAACGAGAAGGGAUUGAUUACAAUGAGACAUUUUCUCCAGUCUCUUGUAAAGAUUCCUUCAGGAUUAUAAUGGCACUAGUGGCACAUUAUGAUUUGGAAUUACAUCAGAUGGAUGUAAAAACGGCAUUUCUAAAUGGAGAUUUGGAGGAAAAAGUAUACAUGGCGCAACCGAAAGGUUUUGUCAUGAAAGGAAACGAAAAUAUGGGAUGUCGCCUAAAGAGAUCCAUUUAUGGAUUAAAGCAAGCUUCGAGACAGUGGUACUUGAAGUUUGAUGGGACAAUAAAGAAAUUUGGGUUUCAAGAGAAUGUCGAGGACAACUGUAUUUAUUCAAAGUUUAAGAAUGGGAGAUUUAUUUUCCUAAUUCUGUAUGUGGAUGACAUUCUACUGGCUAGUAGUGAUGUCAGUCUACUGCAGGAAACAAAGAAAUUCUUGUCCUCAAACUUUGACAUGAAAGACCUCGGUGAGGCUUCAUAUGUUUUGGGCAUAGAGAUUCACCGAGAUAGAACAAAGUAUGCAUUGGGACUUUCUCAAAAGACAUAUAUAGAAAAGGUGUUGAAGAAAUUCAACAUGUACAGAUGCAGUGCUACACCUGCUCCUAUAAUGAAAGGCGAAAAGUAUGGGGCAUCGCAAUGUCCCAGAAAUCAGUAUGAGCUCAAUGAAAUGAAAACAAAGCCAUAUGCGUCAGCUGUAGGAAGCCUACAGUACGCGCAAGUGUGCACACGACCUGACUUGGCAUUUGUUACCGGGUUACUUGGCAGAUUUCAGAGUAAUCCAGGCCUAGAGCACUGGAAAUUGGUAAAGAAAGUCUUGCGUUAUUUGCAAGGAACAAAAGGCCUCAUGCUGUCUUACAGAAGAUCAGAAUCACUCCAGAUAGUGGGGUACUCAGAUUCUGACUUUGCAAAAGAUAAUACAAAGUCAACAUCGGGAUACGUGUUUACCCUGACAGGAGGAGCUAUUUCAUGGAAAAGCUCAAAACAGACUAUCACUGCAGGGUCUACUAUGUAUGGCGAGUUUAUAGCAUGCUAUGAGGCAACGGGGCAGGUGAACUGGCUAAAGAAGUUCAUACCCGGUUUAAAGGUGGUUGACAGUAUUGAGAAACCGCUAAAGUUAUACUGCGACAACGAACCCGCAGUAAUGUACGCUCACAACAAUCAGUCAAGUGGUGCUGCCAAACACAUUGACAUAAAGUACUAUGUUGUGAAGGACAAAGUCCGGGAUCAAACAAUCAGUCUCGAGCACAUUAAAACAGAAAGGAUGCUCGCGGAUCCGCUCACGAAAGGCCUACCACCCAACGUGUUCAAGGAACAUGUAGCCGGCAUGGGUUUAAGGGAAGCCUUAUGAAUCCUGGACUACAGGGCCCAAAAGUAAAGUAUCUGUUUCUGAAUAGAGAUGUGUAUAGUGGCUGUCGAAUCCAUCGGCGAUUGACCGUGACGAUGAAACAUGCUCUAUUUACAAAUCUGUGAUGGAAUAGAAAAAGCUAAAAGAAAAAGUGAGAUCAAGGGGGAGAAUGUUAGAUAGAUCUCUCUCCCCUUGAGCCCAACGGCUCAAGGGGGCCUUGACCGCGCCCUGAUCGGGGGCGCCCAGCCCAAUGGCUGGUGGGCCCCCGUCACACUGCGCCAUAUAAAAGAGGGGUGGAGGCCGGCACGGCACAUGGUACGAGAUUCACCGCCGCCGCCAACUCCACCCCACAAAACCCUAAUCCGAUCGAGAGGGGGCGCAGCCAGUGACGGGAAACGCCACCGCCGCGCCACGCCUCAUCGCCGGGACGUCUACGACCACCACUGCCGCAGCCGUCAUCACCGUCGACCUCACCGGCGCCGCAUCCACGUCAAGCCGCGACGACAACGACGAUGUCCGGCGCCUCUUCCUCCACGAACUCCUCAACCGGUCGGUAUCUAAACCCUCUCCCUUUCAUCUACAAUGUCGUUCAUCAAACCCAAAUAAAACCACCCGACUAGAUCUAACCUAGGUGAUCCUAGAGCAAAGUCUAACAGAAGGAAGCUUACCAAAUUGACUCCAGGGAGUAUGUAACUAGCUAGCCUGUCAUCAAUCGAAACUGGCAGCGGAGGCAUUUUGCUCAUUAUCCCAGGCAUUUGGCUCAUGCUGUUUAUUGAGAUAAUCAUCACAUUAGAUAUAGCAUGGAAG